CGCCACGCCUGACUGGUUUUCGUUUUUUUUUGGUGGAGACGGGGUUUCGCUGUGUUGGCCGGGCUGGUCUCCAGCUCCUAGCCGCGAGUGAUCCGCCGGCCUCGGCCUCCCGAGGUGCCGGGAUUGCGGAUGGAGUCUCGUUCACUCAGUGCUCAAUGGUGCCCAGGCUGGAGUGCAGUGGCGUGAUCUUGGCUCGCUGCAACCACCUCCCAGCCACCUGCCUUGGCCUCCCGGAGAGCCGAGAUUGCAGCCUCUGCCCGGCCGCCACCCCGUCUGGGAAGUGAGGAGCGUCUCUGCUUGGCCACCCAUCGUCUGGGAUGUGAGGAGCCCCUCUGCCUGGCUGCCCAGUCUGGAAAGUGAGGAGCGUCUCUGCCCGGCCGCCAUCCCAUCUGGGAAGCGAGGAGCGCCUCUUCCCCGCCGCCAUCCCAUCUAGGAAGUGAGGAGCGUCUCUGCCCGGCCGCCCAUCGUUUGAGAUGUGGGGAGCACCUCUGCCCCGCCGCCCUGUCUGGGAUGUGAGGAGCGCCUCUGCUGGGCCGCAGCCCUGUCUGGGAGGUGGGGAGCGUCUCUGCCCGGCCGCUCCGUCUGAGAAGUGAGGAAACCCUCUGCCUGGCAACCGCCCCGUCUGAGAAGUGAGGAGCCCCUCCGUCCGGCAACCACCCCGUCUGGGAAGUGAGGAGCGUCUCCGCCCAGCAGCCACCCCGUCCGGGAGGGAGGUGGGGGGGGUCAGCCCCCCGCCCGGCCAGCCGCCCCGUCCGGGAGGUGAGGGGCUCCUCUGCCCGGCCGCCCCUACUGGGAAGUGAGGAGCCCCUCUGCCUGGCCAGGCGCCCCAUCCGGGAGGGAGGCGGCGGGGGGGUCGGCCAGCCGCCCCGUCCGGGAGGGAGGUGGGGGGGUCAGCCCCCCGCCCGGCCAGCCGCCCCGUCCGGGAGGUGAGGGGCUCCUCUGCCCGGCCGCCCCUACUGGGAAGUGAGGAGCCCCUCUGCCCGGCCAGACGCCCCGUCCAGGAGGGAGGUGGGGGGGUCAGCCCCCCGCCCGGCCAGCCGCCCAGUCCGGGAGGGAGGUGGGGGGUCAGCCCCCCGCCCGGCCAGCCGCCCCGUCUGGGAGGGAGGUGGGGGGAUCAGCCCCCCGCCUGGCCAGCCGCCCCAUCCGGGAGGUGAGGGGCGCCUCUGCCCGGCCGCCCCUACUGGGAAGUGAGGAGCCCCUCUGCCCGGCCAGCCGCCCCGCCCGGGAGGGAGGUGGGGGGGUCAUCCCCCCACCUGGCCAGCCGCCCCAUCUGGGAGGGAGGUGGGGGGGUCAGCCCCCCGCCCGGCCAGCCGCCCCGUCCGGGAGGGAGGUGGGGGGGGUCAGCCCCCCGCCUGGCCAGCCGCCCCGUCCGGGAGGGAGGUGGGGGGAUCAGCCCCCCGCCCGGCCAGCCGCCCCGUCCGGGAGGUGAGGGGCGCCUCUGCCCGGCCGCCCCUACUGGGAAGUGAGGACCCCUCUGCCCGGCCAGCCGCCCCGUCCGGGAGGGAGGUGGGGGGGACAGCCCCCCGCCCAGCCAGCCGCCCUAUCCAGGAGGUGAGGGGCGCCUCUGCCCGGCCGUCCCUACUGGGAAGUGAGGAGCCCCUCUGCCUGGCCAGCCGCCCCGUCCGGGAGGGUGGUGGGGGGGUCAGCUCCCCGCCCGGCCAGCCGCCCCAUCCGGGAGGUGAGGGGCGCUUCUGCCCGGCCGCCCCUACUGGGAAGUGAGGAGCCCCUCUGCCCGGCCACGACCCCGUCUGGGAGGUGUGCCCAGCGGCUCAUUGGGGAUGGGCCAUGAUGACAAUGGCGGUUUUGUGGAAUAGAAAGGCGGGAAGGGUGGGGAAAAAAUUGAGAAAUCGGAUGGUUGCCGGGUCUCUGUGGAUAGAAGUAGACAUGGGAGACUUUUCAUUUUGUUCUGUACUAAGAAAAAUUCUUCUGCCUUGGGAUCCUGUUGAUCUGUGACCUUAUCCCCAACCCUGUGCUCUCUGAAACAUGUGCUGUGAACACUCAGGGUUAAAUGGAUUAAGGGCGGUGCAAGAUGUGCUUUGUUAAACAGAUGCUUGAAGGCAGCAUGCUCGUUAAGAGUCAUCACCACUCCCUAAUCUUAAGUACCCAGGGACACAAACACUGCGGAAGGCCAAGGCCGCAGGGUCCUCUGCCUAGGAAAACCAGAGACCUUUGUUCACUUGUUUAUCUGCUGACCUUCCCUCCACUAUUGUCCUAUGACCCUGCCAAAUCCCCCUCUGCGAGAAACACCCAAGAAUGAUCAAUAAAAAAAA
Molecule: long non-coding RNA, 2270 nt
Filed under: Homo sapiens (human)
Lineage: Eukaryota; Metazoa; Chordata; Mammalia; Primates; Hominidae
Description: HSALNT0344165
Source: RNAcentral